Molecule: ribosomal RNA, 855 nt
Filed under: Triticum aestivum (bread wheat)
Lineage: Eukaryota; Viridiplantae; Streptophyta; Magnoliopsida; Poales; Poaceae
Description: partial small subunit ribosomal RNA
Source: RNAcentral
AUGGCAGGACUGGAUUUGGGAACCAACUCCUACCUCCACCAUCACCAGCAGCUUCACCUCCGUCACGAUGACGGUGCCGGAGGAUCCGACGACGGCCAGGACGCGCUCUCGCCGGGCGGCGUGGGAGGGAGCACAGCCGCAGGGGCUGGGAUAGGCGGCAGCGAGGUCGUGGGGCGCCGCCCACGCGGCCGGCCGCCCGGAUCCAAGAACAAGCCCAAGCCGCCAGUGAUCAUCACAAGGGAGAGCGCCAACGCGCUCAGGGCGCACAUCCUCGAGGUUGCCGCGGGGUGCGACGUCUUCGAGGCGCUUACCGCCUAUGCGCGUCGUCGGCAGCGCGGCGUCUGUGUACUAUCCGCGGCGGGGACCGUCACGAACGUGACUCUCCGGCAGCCACAGUCUGCCCAGAGUGGGCCAGCUUCGCCGGCGGUGGCCACGCUCCAUGGAAGGUUCGAGAUACUGUCCCUUGCCGGCUCUUUACUCCCGCCUCCGGCGCCUCCAGGGGCCACCAGCCUCUCGGCCUUCCUAGCAGGAGGGCAGGGUCAGGUGGUUGGUGGGAGCGUUGCCGGUGCGCUCGUCGCGGCCGGGCCGGUGGUCGUCGUUGCCUCGUCGUUCAGCAACGUGGCGUACGAGAGACUGCCGCUGGAGGACGGCGACGAGGUGGUGCCUACACCGCCACCUGCGGGGAGCGACCAGGCCGGCGGUGGCAUGCCGUUCGGUGUUGAUCCGUCGGGGGGCUCGGCAGGAGCUGGCCUCCCGUUCUUCAACCUGCCGAUGGGCAUGCCGCCAAUGCCCGUGGCCGGGCAUAACGGCUGGCCGGGCGCUGCCGGUGGCGUCGAGAGGCCACCGUUCUCGUGA